Molecule: long non-coding RNA, 699 nt
Filed under: Xyrichtys novacula (pearly razorfish)
Lineage: Eukaryota; Metazoa; Chordata; Actinopteri; Labriformes; Labridae
Source: RNAcentral
AGAUUGAUAUUUCACCCAUUCUUGAGAGUCGGGACAAAACAUGUCCUACAUAGAAAAGUCUAAUUUAUUCAAAACAAUUAAGAAAUUCUAAAUGUUUGACAUACUCAAAAAGUUAAAUCUAAUGGAUUUGUGUAUACCAAUCCUAUUUUUUAGCACAGAUAUUUACUUUUUUGGGGGAUAUUUGUUUAAAUGAAACGUCUGUGGUUAGAAGGUCCAUGUUAUUGCUUGUGUCCUCAGCAAGAGGUCACAAUAUUGACCAGCCCCAAAAAACUUUAAAAAACUCUAUAAUUGUGAAAACAUAUACAUCAAAUAAAAAUUCAGGGCUAUAAAUAUAUAAACAAUGAAUGGCCUGAACAUCAAAUAGCUUUUUGCCUAAAAAUCUGCCUAUCAAAGUUGUGUCCUCAGUUUCUGUCAACUCCAUCAGAUUAUUCUAUAAACCUCAUUAAAUCAUGCAAUAUCAUGGUCAGCUAUAUCCCUGAGGACCCCUUUUCAUUUCCUGCUUCUGGUGAAUGCAACACCACCACACAUGGUCUGGUAAGUUUUACAGUUUUUGAUAUUUUAGACAAACAAUGUCAAUAUUUGUAUGGUCACAGCUGGACCAUGUCAACACCGUCUCUCCAUUAUUAUACUUUUUUUUAAACCAUAGUGAGUUCAAUUAAAGUAUUUUAGUGAGAUUAUCAGGACAGCUAGCAACUGCCA